Small nuclear RNA from Talpa occidentalis (Iberian mole), 102 nucleotides. NCBI's taxonomy places the organism in Eukaryota, Metazoa, Chordata, Mammalia, Eulipotyphla, Talpidae. The record is from RefSeq and is a predicted model, not a curated record.
GCACUCACUUCAGAAACACAGAUACUAAAUUUGAAAUGAUACAGAGAAUGUUAGCAUGGCCCCUGCACUAGGGUGGUAGAGAGAGAGAGGGAAUAAAACAAG